Molecule: unclassified non-coding RNA, 255 nt
Filed under: Hevea brasiliensis (rubber tree)
Lineage: Eukaryota; Viridiplantae; Streptophyta; Magnoliopsida; Malpighiales; Euphorbiaceae
Source: RNAcentral
GGGGGGAGGGGUGUUGGGGGGAAGAGGAGGGCCUUGCAUACUAUAAUAAUUAAGUGAUGAUGAUAGCAGUUUACAGGUUCUAGGUACAAACUGCAAACUACAAUAUGCAACUAAUUAUAGUGAUACAAGCAGAGAGUAGAAAUGGCCACAGGCAAGCUCCAGUGGCCUAGGUGGACUUGAACUGGACUGGGGAGGCUCGUUCUAGUUCGAUCUGGGUUGAGGCAAUCCAACAGUUGAAACAUUUUUUCAAAUUUU